CCUACGUGUGGCAGCAGUGGGGGAUAUUGCACAAUGGGGGAAACCCUGAUGCAGCGACGCCGCGUGAGUGAAGUAGUGUUUCGGUAUGUAAAGCUCUAUCAGCAGGGAAGAAAAUGACGGUACCUGAUUAAGGAGCCCCGGCUAACUACGUUCCAGCAGCCGCGGUAAUACGUAGGGGGCAAGCGUUAUUCGGAUUUACUGGGUGUAAAGGGAGCGUAGACGGUGAUGCAAGUCAGAAGUGAAAGCCCGGGGCGCAACGCCGGGACUGCUUUUGAAACUGUGUGGCUGGAGUGCAGGAGAGGCAAGCGGAAUUCCUGGUGUAGCGGUGAAAUGCGUAGAUAUCAGGAGGAACACCAGUGGCGAAGGCGGCUUACUGGACUGUAACUGACGUUGAGGCUCGAAAGCGUGGGGAGCAAACAGGAUUAGAUACCCGGGUAGUC
Molecule: ribosomal RNA, 440 nt
Filed under: uncultured bacterium
Lineage: Bacteria
Description: partial 16S ribosomal RNA
Rfam family: Bacterial small subunit ribosomal RNA
Source: RNAcentral